Molecule: ribosomal RNA, 406 nt
Filed under: uncultured bacterium
Lineage: Bacteria
Description: partial 16S ribosomal RNA
Rfam family: Bacterial small subunit ribosomal RNA
Source: RNAcentral
AUUGAACGCUGGCGGCAGGCCUAACACAUGCAAGUCGAACGAGAGGCGGGCGGGUGAGUGAUGUCUGUGGAACUGCCUGCUGGAGGGGGAUAACUCCUGGAAACGGUAGCUAAUACCUCAUACCAGAAGAUAUGUCCAGAUGGGAUGAGCUGGUUGGUGUGGUAACGGCUCACCACGGCGACGAUCCCUAGCUGGUCUGAGAGGAUGACCAGCCACACUGGAACUGAGACACGGUCCAGACUCCUACGGGAGGCAGCAGUGGGGAAUAUUGCACAAGGGGCGAAAGCCUGAUGCAGCCAUGCCGCGUGUAUGAAGAAGGCCUUCGGGUUGUAAAGCACUUUCAGCGGGGAGGCGUUACCCGCAGAAGAAGCACCGGCUAACUCCGUGCCAGCAGCCGCGGUAAUUC